Molecule: ribosomal RNA, 210 nt
Filed under: uncultured bacterium
Lineage: Bacteria
Description: partial 16S ribosomal RNA
Rfam family: Bacterial small subunit ribosomal RNA
Source: RNAcentral
UACGGGGGGGAGCAAGCGUUGUUCGGAUUUACUGGGCGUAAAGGGCGCGUAGGCGGCCACCGCAAGUCGACUGUGAAAUCUCCGGGCUUAACCCGGAAAGGUCAGCCGAUACUGCGGGGCUAGAGUGCAGAAGGGGCAACUGGGAAUUCUCGGUGUAGCGGUGGAAAUGCGUAGAUAUCGAGAGGAACACCUGUGGCGAAAGCGGCUCAC